This is a small nucleolar RNA of Grammomys surdaster, 126 nucleotides long. RefSeq annotates it as small nucleolar RNA SNORA17. Lineage: Eukaryota; Metazoa; Chordata; Mammalia; Rodentia; Muridae. The record is from RefSeq and is a predicted model, not a curated record. The transcript has a single exon.
CCUGCCCCUAGAGACACUGCAAGUGUGGCUCCUGUGUCACAUGUGCAUCAGUAGGUGUCAGAGAGGAGAGAGGCUAUGUCUACAGUUCUGACCUAUGGACAUCUGAAGGAUUAGGAGCCCAACCUU